Molecule: ribosomal RNA, 301 nt
Filed under: uncultured bacterium
Lineage: Bacteria
Description: partial 16S ribosomal RNA
Rfam family: Bacterial small subunit ribosomal RNA
Source: RNAcentral
CAGUAGCCACGGGAACACGAAGGGUGCAAGCGUUACUCGGAAUUACUGGGCGUAAAGCGUGCGUAGGUGGUGGUUUAAGUCCGUUGUGAAAGCCCUGGGCUCAACCUGGGAAUUGCAGUGGAUACUGGGUCACUAGAGUGUGGUAGAGGAUAGUGGAAUUUCCGGUGUAGCAGUGAAAUGCGUAGAGAUCGGAAGGAACAUCUGUGGCGAAGGCGACUAUCUGGGCCAACACUGACACUGAGGCACGAAAGCGUGGGGAGCAAACAGGAUUAGAUACCCCUGUAGUCCCUGUCUCUUAUAC